This 582-nucleotide ribosomal RNA is filed under the name uncultured bacterium. Its description in RNAcentral is "partial 16S ribosomal RNA". It matches the Rfam family "Bacterial small subunit ribosomal RNA", at positions 355 to 932 of the family's 1533-position model. The record is from RNAcentral.
UGAGGAAUAUUGCGCAAUGGGCGAAAGCCUGACGCAGCGACGCCGCGUGGAGGAUGAAGGUUUUCGGAUUGUAAACUCCUGUUAAGUGGGAAGAAACGACAAAAUAUAAUACAUUUUGUAACUGACGGUACCAUUAAAGAAAGCACCGGCUAACUUCGUGCCAGCAGCCGCGGUAAUACGAGGGGUGCAAGCGUUAUUCGGAAUUAUUGGGCGUAAAGGGUGCGUAGGCGGCGUAUUAAGUCAACUGUUAAAACCUCCAGCCUAACUGGAGAUCAGCAGUAGAUACUGGUAUGCUAGAGGAUGGAAGAGAGAAGUGGAAUUCUUGGAGUAGCGGUGGAAUGCGUAGAUCUCAAGAGGAACACCAAUGGCGAAGGCAGCUUCUUGGUCCAUAUCUGACGCUGAUGCACGAAAGCGUGGGGAGCAAACAGGAUUAGAUACCCUGGUAGUCCACGCCGUAAACGAUGAUCACUAGAUGUUAAUUCUGCUUGCAGAAUUAGUGUCGUAGCUAACGCGAUAAGUGAUCCGCCUGGGGGACUACGGUCGCAAGAUUAAAACUUAAAUGAAUUGACGGGGUCAUAGCUG